Long non-coding RNA from Dendroctonus ponderosae (mountain pine beetle), 282 nucleotides. RefSeq lists it as uncharacterized. The transcript has 2 exons. The record is from RefSeq and is a predicted model, not a curated record. Lineage: Eukaryota; Metazoa; Arthropoda; Insecta; Coleoptera; Curculionidae.
UUUCGACUCAAAUCAGCCGAUUAUGGUUAAAAAAGGGCAUUGGCUUUCUGCAGGAGCAAAUUUUGCAGCAAAUCACCAACAAGCUGAAGAAUUUGCAACGUUAACAUCUGACAAGACUAAGACCAAAGUUCCUUACUGUAAAAGACAAAUAUAUAUAUAAAUAACAGAUUUAGUGCGUGAGUAAAUAAUGCACGCUUUGAAACAAUCCGAUAGUGAACCCAACUAAAUCGAAUAACAAGAAUAUAUAUUAAAUUGAGACGCAUAAAUACUCCAGCCGUUAAA